RNAcentral lists this ribosomal RNA (2957 nucleotides) under Trichinella murrelli. Its description in RNAcentral is "eukaryotic LSU rRNA". The stretch from base 1517 to 2957 matches the Rfam family "Eukaryotic large subunit ribosomal RNA", at positions 1891 to 3283 of the family's 3401-position model. Lineage: Eukaryota; Metazoa; Nematoda; Enoplea; Trichinellida; Trichinellidae. The record is from RNAcentral.
GCGAUGCUUCCGGCUUCCGCGUUGAAAUCGUAGGCCAAACAACGCCAUCCCCUAACAAAAUUAGUUUGCCCUAAGCAUCCAACAUAAGAGUCGGGACCCUGGGAGGGAUUUGCGCCACCAUGUUGAGGAUAGUUUAACCUCCUGCAAUAGCGAGUUGGAAGGGUUCUAAAUUUCAUUUUAUAAAGUAUUAAAUAGGGAUCGAGGACCGUAACAAACAUGUUGACGCUGCUAUCAGCGUACUCAUCGAGUUCCUGUGCGAACCUAAACGUCAUCAGUCCCCCCUCCCCAAGAAGCGUACUACGAAGAACCGAAACCGAAGACAAGAUCAUAGCAAAGUCGCAAAUGAAUCUCUUCUUUUGAGACCCUAAAAGGACUGCCCAAUUAAAGAACCAGCCCCUUUAAUGUUUCACAUGCCGCAGUCGGUUGACGUCAAGUUUGAUAAGAACAUUCUGGGUUGUGAGGGGUACGCUGCACCUCCAAAAAUUAAGAUACACACGUUAGAGGGCCCUGACGGAAUAAAGGUGUCGCAUCUUCGCUCGUGCGACCCGGUGUGUCUAGCGAAGGCCUUCAACCUCUUUCUACUCACUAGACACAUUCCCUAACAACUCAAGGAUUGUCGGACGACCCUCAUUCCCAAAACCGACGAUCCCCACCCCGACGCUGAAGAUUACCGGCCAAUAACAGUCGCUUCCUGUCUGUACCGGCUCUUCAGCAAAGUUGUAACGAGGCGGUUAGAAGACUCCCUUUCCCUCCAUCCACGUCAAAAGGCAUUCCGGUCAGGCACGGACGGCGCUUUUGACAACACAUCCACACUGAUGACUGUCAUACACACAACUUAUGGAAGUUCGGUUCUCAACACACUUCAUGUUGAUCGUGCUAAAUCAUUUUUAAUCGAGAUUGUUACAUCCCCCCUGCUCUUCAACGCCGUCAUGGACGUUUGGUAGAGCGCCUGCAACUACAGGUUUUAAAUUAAAGGGAGUCGAGGUCACAACACUAGCGUUUGCGGACGACGUACACUUAUAAGCCGUCCACUCCAUGUCAUUCUGGUUCCAAGGUGUUUCAAUGGCUGACAUUUCAAACACGAUGCCGUUGGUUACAGCAGUAUAGAGAAUGUAAAGCCCCCUCAAACAGAAAGGGAUUAUCUGAUGUUGGGAGGACAACAGAAAAUUGGAGCGUCUUGUAAAACGCUUUUAACCACCGGUCAAAUGUUGGAAUGGUUUCGUAGCGGAACCGAAUGUUUUUCUCCGGUUGAAGUCGCACUGCGCUUUAACUCCCAUUGCAAAGGGGCAGCAUCUGUGAGAACAUCACCCCGUUCCGUUUCAUUAACUCAGUCGCCCCUUCCACUAUACACACCGCACUCGACAUGAAAAGUUUCUGGACGUUCCGAAGGACCAUCAGACAAGCUCCGAAUUCUUUUCGGUUUUGCAUUUGUAGUUCUGCACUAAAGACUGAGUAAGCAGCCAUCUACUGACCGCGCCCCCUUCUAUUCCGAAGCGCGCCCUGAUAAACAAUACUGUAUACACCGUGGAAAGGAAAGAGCGAAUACCUCAAACUGAUGAACCUUCCCACUCUGCAUCAGUCCCCAAUGGAGUCACAAGGUGUCGCUUACGUUACUAUUCUUAUUAUUAUUAUUAUUAUUAUUAUUGUUUCUCAACGACUCAAUAAACGCCCAUUGGUACGCGUCACUAAUUAGGCUGACAGCAGCAGGCACUUUCCUCGUAGAGCGCCCUGCAAAUUCCGAAAUUAGCCAAAUGCCUCGUCAUCUAAUUAGUGACGCGUAUGAAUGGAUCAACAAGAUUCCUUCUGUCCCUAUCUACUAUCUAGCGAAACCACAGCCAAGGGAACGGGCUUGGCAAAAUCAGCGGGGAAAGAAGACCCUGUUGAGCUUGACUCUAGUCUGACUCUGUGAAGAGACAUGAAAGGUGUAGCAUAGGUGGGAGAUUGUCAAAUUGCCAUCGUUCGCGCGGUGGUCCGGUGAUCGCCAAUGAAAUACCACUACUUUGAUCGUUUCUUUACUUAUUCGGUAAAGCGAAAAAAUUGUGGCCAAUUUGGCGGUGUUUAUGUCGCUGUUGGUCAUUGUUUUCAUGUUAGAUUGAAGCUUUGUUUACAGCCGUCGCUUUGUGUCGCCAUUUGACGCAUUGUUGUACUGGGUUAUCCCGGUGUGUGGUGUAGUCAGUAUGGAUGAUCGGCGAUAGGUUUGAAGUGAUUCGCUCCGGAAACAGUGUCAGACGGGGAGUUUGACUGGGGCGGUACAUCUGUUAAACGAUAACGCAGGUGUCCUAAGGUAAGCUCAGCGAGGACAGAAACCUCGCUUAGAGUAAACGGGCACAAGCUUACUUGAUUUUGAUUUCCAGUACGAAUAGAAACCGCGAAAGCGUGGCCUAUCGAUCCUUUUGAUUGUGUAGAUUUCAUGCAAGAGGUGUCAGAAAAGUUACCACAGGGAUAACUGGCUUGUGGCAGCCAAGCGUCCAUAGCGACGUUGCUUUUUGAUCCUUCGAUGUCGGCUCUUCCUAUCAUUGCGAAGCAGAAUUCGCCAAGCGUUGGAUUGUUCACCCACCAAUAGGGAACGUGAGCUGGGUUUAGACCGUCGUGAGACAGGUUAGUUUUACCCUACUGAUGACAAGUCGUUGCGAUAGUAAUCCUGCUCAGUACGAGAGGAACCGCGGGAUCAGACAUUUGGUUCAUGCGCUCGGCUGAAAGGCCGGUGGCGCGAAGCUAGCAUCUGCAAGAUUAUGACUGAACGCCUCUAAGUCAGAAUCUUUUCUAGUCAUUGGCAACGAUAAGUUGCGUCCAGACUCGAUGCGAGGAAACGAUUAGGCUUUGCUAUACGGCGAAGCCAUUAUCAGACCACGGUAGCAGGCAGUAUGGGAUUGUUACGAAAAAGCAAUUUUUUGAAGUCAGUUGAAUUCAAUCAAACUGCUAACAAUUCCACUGCGAAUGACUCCAUUCGAAUCAAU